RNAcentral lists this ribosomal RNA (399 nucleotides) under uncultured bacterium. RNAcentral's name for it is "bacterial SSU rRNA". It matches the Rfam family "Bacterial small subunit ribosomal RNA", at positions 362 to 776 of the family's 1533-position model. The record is from RNAcentral.
UAUUGCACAAUGGGCGAAAGCCUGAUGCAGCAACGCCGCGUGAGGGAAGACGGUUUUCGGAUUGUAAACCUCUGUUUUCGGUGACGAACAAAUGACGGUAACCGAGUAGGAAGCCACGGCUAACUACGUGCCAGCAGCCGCGGUAAUACGUAGGUGGCAAGCGUUAUCCGGAAUUACUGGGUGUAAAGGGAGCGCAGGCGGGAUAGCAAGUCAGCUGUGAAAACUAUGGGCUCAACCCAUAAACUGCAGUUGAAACUGUUAUUCUUGAGUGCAGUAGAGGCAAGCGGAAUUCCGAGUGUAGCGGUGAAAUGCGUAGAUAUUCGGAGGAACACCAGUGGCGAAGGCGGCUUGCUGGGCUCUAACUGACGCUGAGGCUCGAAAGUGUGAGGAGCAAACAGG